RNAcentral lists this ribosomal RNA (253 nucleotides) under uncultured bacterium. RNAcentral describes it as "partial 16S ribosomal RNA". It matches the Rfam family "Bacterial small subunit ribosomal RNA", at positions 524 to 776 of the family's 1533-position model. The record is from RNAcentral.
GACAGAGGUCUCAAGCGUUAGGCGGAAUCACUGGGCUUAAAGCGUGUGUAGGCGGAUCGUUAAGUGCCUUGUGAAAUCCCACAGCUCAACUGUGGAACUGCUUGGCAUACUGGCGGUCUUGAGCCAUCUAGGGGUCGCUGGAACAAACGGUGGAGCGGUGAAAUGCGUAGAUAUCGUAAGGAAGACCAGUGGCGAAGGCGGGUCUCUGGACAGUUCCUGACACUGAGGCACGAAGGCCAGGGGAGCAAACGGG